Molecule: long non-coding RNA, 1384 nt
Filed under: Equus asinus (donkey)
Lineage: Eukaryota; Metazoa; Chordata; Mammalia; Perissodactyla; Equidae
Description: lncRNA (ENSEASG00005024516.1)
Source: RNAcentral
CAGUCUCAGUGGGCGGUUGGGCGGGGGGACAUGGGGGCACACCAAAAUAACCUCCCUGACUGGUGAGGUGUCAUGCUGGGCAAAUGAAACUCCCUGUGCCUCAGUUUCUUCAUCUGUCAAAUGGAAAAGUUACUACUACUAAUCAGCUCAUGUGAAGAUUAAAGGCAUUCAUGUAUAUGAGAUACUCCAUGCCUGGCACAUAAUGAGACCUUAAUAAGUCAUUGCUAUGAUGAUAAUGAUGACGCUGGAGGCAGAGACAGCAGCAUGUGGGGGGUUGAGACCAAGUAGACAGCACAUCUAGAGUCAUCAGGGUAGGCUUUGGAGCAGGUGGUUGUAGAUGUGGCCUUGAAGGCUGGGAGGGGUGUGUCCCAGGAGGCAGAAAGAACAGGAGGAGGUAAAGUACGUAUAUAAUGCUGGCAAUUCUGGAAGCUACCCAGUGUGGCUACACACCAGGGUCAGGGCAAGGGGUAUGAGCCUGGAGCCUGGAAGACCGCUGUGCAGGUGAGGAGGAGAGAUGUUGAGAUCUUCUCCCACCCACUUCAGUGCCAGAGAGGAGGGAUCUUCCCCGCACAGCACAGGAGCUGUCAGGACAGAGAGCCACAGGCCUCAGAGCUGGGCACGAACCAAAUGCCUCCUGGAUCCACCAAGGUGUGAAGGAUAAAUGUGCUCCCCGUUACUGCACUGCCACGGGAGGGACCCUGAUCAUUCCCUGGCAGGACCUACGGCCUCCCACCACCACCUUUCUUCUGGUCCCAUGGAUUGCCUGGCUCCCAGCACCCUGGGCCCAGGUCUUCUUUCCCAUUGAUGGCUCCCAGAGGGAAAGGAAAUUAAUAGCACUUGAGUCUGCUCUGAAGCUCCUUUCCUCGCCUCGCCUCCGACACUGCGGCGGGCUGCAAAACACGGAGCGCGGAGCCGCCGCCACACCUGGAAUCCGAAGCGGGCUAUCGGCCGCAGCCGCCUCCGCCUGUGCGGGGAGGGGAGUGCGCGCGCGCGGGCGCGCGGGCUUGUGUGUGUCCAACUCGGGCUACGCAGGAGCUGAUUAUGAUUUGAGACGGAGGCUGCCUCAAAUCAUGAGUGGGGAAGGAGUGUGGAAGAAGAAAAGGGGGACGUGUUUGUAUGUGUACGUGAACGUGAGGAUUUACUGAACAGGGGAAUAUCUCGUGUUUUGUUUUUUGAGUGUAUGUGGGGUUGUACAGCAAUGAGUGUGUGUGUGCAAUUGCGUGUCUGUGUGAGUGUGCUUGCUAUGGCCGUGUAUACGGGCAUAUUUGUGAGAGAAACUGUACGUGUGUGGGUGUGGAAUCGUGUUUGUAAUACUGAGUUGGCGCGAAUGUGUGUGCCGUUUGUGUAGGAGUUUCCAUGUAAGUGGCAACGGACUUGAGCCAAG